Molecule: long non-coding RNA, 5178 nt
Organism: Bubalus bubalis (water buffalo)
Lineage: Eukaryota; Metazoa; Chordata; Mammalia; Artiodactyla; Bovidae
Exons: 3
Source: RefSeq, a predicted model, not a curated record
CUCAAUGGACAUGAAUCUGGACAAACUGCAGGAGGUGGUGAAGGACAAGGAAGCCUGGCAUGCUGCCGUCCAUGGGGUCACAAAGAGUUGGACAGUACUUAGAUACUGAACAACAACAACGGUAAGUGAAUGUUUAGUAGAAGAAAUGACCCAGUUGGUGUCCAAGUACCUCACAGCACUGCAGGAGCCCACACCCUCUACUGGGGAAAGAAGAGGCCCUCAAGAUUGCAGGAGGCGCUCGGGGGUGUGUGUAGUCCCCUCAUCUGUUCGUUUUCCCUGGCCCUGGCACCUCUAUUUCUGAACUCUUUCCACUGAAGGUAACUCACUAAACUUGCCUUUCUUUCUCCCCCUCACCCCUUCCUUCUCAUCACACUGUUUCUCUAAAAAGACUCUCCUCUCUCUCUUUCUCUCUAGGUAAGAACGUGGGCCUGUGAGAACAGUGGAACUCGAGCCACAGAACAAACACAUCCAGACUUUUGCCCCAAGGGACCACCAAACUCCAGCAGGGCUUCUGGCAACAUGAGGCCAUAUCUGCAGGAUGACCCCUCAGAUGCCUGCCUGAAAAAGCUCAAUACUGCCAGGACCUGAAGCCAUCCCUUUGAAUGUCAUCCCCAGGAAGGAUGGGGCCACUGUCUCCAAGUCUCUGUUGGGUAUAGAAACCCAGCUUCCAAUCUUACCAGCUGGCCCACCCCUGUCCAUGUCACCGUGUCGGUCAGUGAUGUGCUCAUGACUGUAGGUGUGACAGCAGGUGUCAUCGUAGAAGUGGGCCUGGCCCCUGCCUCACUGCGAUGCUGCAGAAGCAAGACGGAAAAGCAGUUCAGGUUUUGAAGUCAGAGUCUCCUAGGGUCAGAUUCCCGCUCUGUCUCUUGGAGAAGUUCCUUUACCACAGCCUUCGUGCCCUCGAGUGUGAACUUGGGAGUAAGUAGUCCUACUUCACAGCUUCCCUGGUGGCUUGGCGGUAAAGAAUCUGCUGCAAUGCAGGAGAUCAAGAGACGUGGGUGCGAUCCCUUGGUCGGGAAGACCCAUUGGAGGAGGAAAUGUAUACCCAUUCCAGUAUUCUUGCCUGGAGAAUCCCAUGUACAGAGGAGUCUGGUGGGCUACAAUCCCUCAGGUUGCAAAGAGUUGUCACGACUGAGCAACUGAGCACUCACGCACACAUUCCUACAUCACAGGGUUGUUUCAAAAGCUAAAUAAAAGCCUUUCUCACACUGCAGGCUGUGGUGAGCACUCAGGAAGUGUGGAUAUUUUUGAUCCAGAAGGGAGAAGGACCACGUGGAGGAGGAUAAAGGGAUGGAGGGAAAGCAGAGGGGCUGCUGUGAUGGAAGAUGAGGGGGGACAAGGACGCCUUCUGACAGCCCACCUGGGCCCACUGAUGUGAACCAUGCUCCUGGUCCCACUGAUAUGGACAGCGUGACUGAGGAGGUGGGGCUGGGCUCCCUGAGCCCACCAUUCCUGACUUCUCAGGACUGCCCGUAGGAAUGCUCCCCACCCAACCUGGACCCUCAGGUCUCAGCUUGUACCUGCGCUCCUCUGAGCCAAAGCUGCAGACCAACAAGGAAAUCACCACAACAGAGGGUUUUUUUUUUUUUUUUUUUUAAAUAAAAGCUUAUCUGCAGUUUAGACUGACCAAGGCCAUCUUUCUGUCAAGAUGAUGUCUGUCUGUUUUGUUGCCUGGACAUCCAGCCUUUAUCGUUUUAAGAGUUUGGUUUUUCCUCUGAUGCUGCCCAGGCAUACAAAUCUUUAGAAACGUGAGUUAGAGUUCACAUGAGAACUCCUCUGUGUUUAAGCGGACCCAGGCUAUGUGCUGGGUAGACAAGCAGGCCCUGAAGAAGAGCCGUCAGAGUUUAAGAUGUAGAUUCAGAAGGAGCUGGUCUGGUCAAGGUCAUGGUCAACACUCACCAAGUUUCAGGGCAGAGAGGAGAAGGGAAGAAUUAGUGAUGGACAGGGAGGUCUGUUGAGGUCCAUGGGGUCGCAAAGAGUCGGACACGACUGAGCGACUGAAUGAACUGAACUGAACAUUCUGCUUUAUUGAAUGAUUUUUAAAAUACUGACUGUGACCCACUAAAUAAAAGUUAUCACUUGCUAAAGGGUCACAAACCAGAGUUGCUGGAUUGUAGGGUAUGACCUUUGGCUUUGUUAGAAAAAGAAUGGAAAAUUCUGCUUUUCACUGGCAGAAUACUAGAGGUGUGACUGCUCAGUAUUUGAAUAUUUGCCAGCAUGGUAGCUGCAGCAUCCAGGGUCUUUCUAUAAUUGCUUAUGAAGUGCUUCAUUUUGUCAUGUGUUUGUGAGACAUUUGUAUUCACUCCUCUGUGAAAAGCCCAUUAACGUAUUUGUCCACUUUUCUGUUGGGUUGUCUUUCUCUUACUGAUUUCUUUAUGCAUACUGAAUACUAAUCCUUUGUCAGUUUUUGUGUUACAAAUAUCUUCUCCCAGAUGUUGCUUGCCUUUUCAUUUACUUAAUUAUUCUUAUUAGAUGGAAUCAAAUUUACCUUUUUGUGCUUUAUUAUUUUUUUCUGUAUUAUUUUGUGCUACAGAGUUACAGAAAGGUCAUAAAGAUGUUCUCUUGCAUUUUCUUCUAAAAAUUUUAUACGUUUGCCUGUGAUGGUUAAUUUUGAGUCAACAUGACUGGGCCAAGGGAAGCUCAGACAGCUGAUAAAACAUUAUUUCUGGGUGUAUCUGUACGGGUGUUUCCAGGUGAGAUGAAGUGUUUGAAUUAGUAGACUAAGCAAAGAUCUGCUCUCACCUGUGGGCAAUGAGAAAUGUGAAACAAAAUGGAAUCACGAAGGUCAAGUUUUUUUUUUAAUGGAACCAGAAAGCCAUUAAGUAGGUGGACCUUUCCCACAUGCUACUUGGAUGGAACCUCAACUUUUGAACUGCAUGAAACCACAAAUCCCAAGGACUCUGCAAAAAUUCCUAAAACUUGUGUGUGUGUGCUCAGUUCUCCAGGCAAUAAUAUUGGGGUGGGUUGCCAUUUCCUUCUCCAGAGGAUCUUCCUUACCCAGGGACUGAACCCAUGUCUCUUGAGUCUCCUGUACUGGCAAGCCUAUUCUUUACCACUGUGCCACCUGGGUAAUCCCCAAAACUUGUCAUAGCAACAGGUUUUCACCUUGCUCUAGUCAUAGCUUUAGUAAUCCUGUUCAGCCAGGACUAGCUUCUGCAUCCGGCGCCAAUUAAAAUUCUUUGCCGUACAAGCCUCCCUUCUUUGUCUUUAAAAGCCCAUGACUGUUACUCCCUAGUAGGACACAGUUUAGGUUGCUACUCACAUCUGUGUGCUCUGCAUUGUAGUUUUUUGAUCCCAAAUAACAGCUUUCUACCUCAUUAUCACCUUCUAGGCUUCCAUGGUGGCUCAGAUGGUAAAGAAUAUGCCUGCAAUGCAGGAGACCUGUGUUCGAUCCCUGAGCUGGGAAGAUCCCCUGGAGAAGGAAAUGGCAACCCACUCCAGUACUUUUCCCUGGAAAUUCUAUGGACAGAGGAGUCUGGCAGGCUACAGUCCAUGGGGUCACAAAGAGUCAGACACGACUGAACGACUAUCAGUCACUCACUCAGGUUUAUUUAGGUUGACAAUGAGCAUCAUCCCAUCUACUGAUGGCCCAAAUAGAAUAAAGAAGGUGAAGGAAGAACUCUCUCUCUUCUUGAGCUGGGAGGUCCAUCUUUUCCAGCUUUCUGAUAUCAGUUUUCCUGGUUCUCUGACCUUUAGACUCUAGAGCUUACCCUAGUACCCCACGCUGCAAGUUCUCAGGCCAGGAACUGGGACUUAGACCAUCAGCUCCCUUGGUUCUCAGGUCUUUGGGCUUGGAUUCAGUUAUAACACUAGCUUUCUGUUCUCUGCUUGCAGAUGGCGGAUCAUGGGACUUCUCAGUCUCUUUAGCCAUGUGAACCAAUUCCUAUAAUGAGCCUCUUCUUGCAUCCAUCUAUCCCCACCCCUUGUUUUGAUCACAAUGAUAAUUUAUAAUAAAUCUUGAUAUUUGAUAGUGCAAGUCUCCCUGUCUGGUAUUUCUUCUUGGCAAUGAAAAAGCUAAUUUUGCCUCUUUACUUUUUGGAGGUCCACCUGAGAAUCUGGCAGCAAAUUUCAGCAAAGACCCUGUUGGAAUUUGGUUUGGAAUUGCAUUGAAUCUAGAGAUGAAACUUGGAAAGAAACUGACAUUUAUGAUAUUGAGGUUUCUUAUCCACGAAUACUGUAUCUCUCUCCAAUCAUAGAUUUCCUUGGAUGUCCUUAAAUACUUUUUCCACAGAGAUGUCAUCCAUAUAUUGCUUGAAUGUUUGGUAAGACUCAUCUGUAAAACAAUCCAGGCCUGCUUUUUUUUGUGGGACAAUUUUUAACUACUGAUUUAAUUCCUUUAAUGGUAAUAGAGCUGCUUAGAUUUUUUUGAUUCAUCCUGAAUUCAAUUUUGAUAACAUGUUUUCCUUAGAAUGGUGGCCCAAAUGGUAAAGCAUCUGCCUACAACGCGGGAGACCCAGUUUCAAUCCCUGGGUGGGGAAGAUCUGGAGAAGGAAAUGGCAACCCACUCCAGUAUUCUUGCCUCGGAAAUCCCUUGGAUGGGGAAACCUGGUAGGCUACAGUCCAUGGGGUCGCAAAGAGUCGGACACGACUGAGUGACUUCACUUUCCUUUCCUUUUCCUUAGAAUGUAUUAAUUACAUCCAAAUUUACUAAUUUAUUGUCUUCAAGUUAUUUAUUGAUUUCUUCUUGUUUGAUCUCCUUAGCAUCUGUAGUUAUAUCUCCAAUUUCCCCUAAAAAAUUAACUUGUGCAUUCUCUUUUGUUGCUGAUUUUGAUUCAUUUCUUUUGGUUCAUAUCUUUUUACUUUCUUCCUAUUUUCCACUUCUGCCUCUUUAUAUCUUCUUUUUUUUUCAGUCUUUUAAAGGUAUAAUUAACAUACAACAUUGUCUUAGUUUAUUUUAGUUUCAGGAGCGCAACAUAAUGGUUUGAUAUUUACAUAUAUUGCAAAUGAUCACUACAAUAAAUCUGGUUAACAUCUGUCAUCAUACAUAGUUACAAACUUUUUUUUCUUGUGAUGAGCACUUUUAAGAUCUACUCUCCUAGAAACUUUCAAAUAUGAAAUGCAGUAUUUUAGCUAUAGUCACCACUGUGGUGUUGGAGAAGAGUCUUGAGAAUCCCUUGGACUGCAAGGAGAUCCAACCAGUUCACUCUAAAGGAGAUCAGCCCUGGGUGUUCUUUGGAA